CGGGGUGCCUAUACUUGCAAGGUCGAGCGGACAGAUGGGAGCUUGCUCCCUGAUGUUAGCGGCGGACGGGUGAGUAUCACGUGGGUAACCUGCCUGUAAGACUGGGAUAACUCCGGGAAACCGGGGCUAAUACCGGAUGGUUGUCUGAACCGCAUGGUUCAGACAUAAAAGGUGGCUUCGGCUACCACUUACAGAUGGACCCGCGGCGCAUUAGCUAGUUGGUGAGGUAACGGCUCACCAAGGCGACGAUGCGUAGCCGACCUGAGAGGGUGAUCGGCCACACUGGGACUGAGACACGGCCCAGACUCCUACGGGAGGCAGCAGUAGGGAAUCUUCCGCAAUGGACGAAAGUCUGACGGAGCAACGCCGCGUGAGUGAUGAAGGUUUUCGGAUCGUAAAGCUCUGUUGUUAGGGAAGAACAAGUGCCGUUCAAAUAGGGCGGCACCUUGACGGUACCUAACCAGAAAGCCACGGCUAACUACGUGCCAGCAGCCGCGGUAAUACGUAGGUGGCAAGCGUUGUCCGGAAUUAUUGGGCGUAAAGGGCUCGCAGGCGGUUUCUUAAGUCUGAUGUGAAAGCCCCCGGCUCAACCGGGGAGGGUCAUUGGAAACUGGGGAACUUGAGUGCAGAAGAGGAGAGUGGAAUUCCACGUGUAGCGGUGAAAUGCGUAGAGAUGUGGAGGAACACCAGUGGCGAAGGCGACUCUCUGGUCUGUAACUGACGCUGAGGAGCGAAAGCGUGGGGAGCGAACAGGAUUAGAUACCCUGGGUAGUCCACGCCGUAAACGAUGAGUGCUAAAUGGUUAGGGGG
RNAcentral lists this ribosomal RNA (810 nucleotides) under uncultured bacterium. Its description in RNAcentral is "bacterial SSU rRNA". It matches the Rfam family "Bacterial small subunit ribosomal RNA", at positions 40 to 831 of the family's 1533-position model. The record is from RNAcentral.